AUUGAACGCUGGCGGCGUGCUUAACACAUGCAAGUCGAGCGGCAGCGGGCCCGCAAGGGUGCCGGCGAGCGGCGGACGGGUGAGCAAUACAUAGGAAUCUGCCUCAGAGCGGGGGAUAGCCAGGGGAAACCCUGAUUAAUACCGCAUGACGUCGAGAGACCAAAGUGGGGGAUCGUAAGACCUCACACUCUGAGAUGAGCCUAUGUCGGAUUAGCUAGUUGGCGGGGUAACGGCCCACCAAGGCGACGAUCCGUAGCUGGUCUGAGAGGACGAUCAGCCACACCGGAACUGAGACAC
This 297-nucleotide ribosomal RNA is filed under the name uncultured bacterium. RNAcentral describes it as "partial 16S ribosomal RNA". It matches the Rfam family "Bacterial small subunit ribosomal RNA", at positions 29 to 327 of the family's 1533-position model. The record is from RNAcentral.